CAGCAUGAUCGGUGAAUGCCACGCACCUGUGCUGACUCUUGGGCUGAGCAUAUGGCCCGAUUCAUAAUGACUGUGACUCUGCGUGGAGUCACCCUGGAAACGUCCCUUAAUCGAGAGCUCUACAGAAAAAUUAUCUAUUCACUUCCGCCUCUUCAAAGAUUGAUGAAAGGGUUGAUAUCAGUGACCAACUGUCAACAGACUGCACUGCAAUUAUGUCUGAUAACACUGAGAACUGCCACUCCAACUUCUGCCAUGAUACAACCAAAAGUGAACAAAAUUGACCAAUCAAAUCCCCAUCCAUGAUACUCAGAGAUUCAAAGUGUAGGCACAGGAUUAAGCUGGUGGACGAACAAGAGCCUGCUGGAAAAAUUGUCUCCUGAUUUGCAAUCAUGCUCUUGCCACUGAAUAACAAACAGGAUGGGUGGACUAUUUUUUUUUGCCAUGAUGCUAAUGAGGAUGCUCGUCCGUGCAGAUGUGUGAGUGUGUGUCCAUGUCCAACAAAUGUACCUUCAUGCCUUAUCACUAAUGAAGGUGUCACAGUGUCAGUUCAUAUGUCUAUGUGUGUUAACC
Oreochromis niloticus (Nile tilapia) is the source of this 570-nucleotide long non-coding RNA. RefSeq lists it as uncharacterized. NCBI's taxonomy places the organism in Eukaryota, Metazoa, Chordata, Actinopteri, Cichliformes, Cichlidae. The transcript has 3 exons. The record is from RefSeq and is a predicted model, not a curated record.